Molecule: long non-coding RNA, 663 nt
Organism: Micropterus salmoides (largemouth bass)
Lineage: Eukaryota; Metazoa; Chordata; Actinopteri; Centrarchiformes; Centrarchidae
Exons: 2
Source: RefSeq, a predicted model, not a curated record
AACCUGUCUUUGAAUCUGUACUUUGGUCUGAUGAGUCCAAAUUUUUAGUUUUUGUUUCUGCCCUCCACCAUGAAGCAUGGAGGAGGGGUGAUGGUGUGGUGGUGCUUUGCCGAUGACACUGAUGGUGGCAGAAAAACUUAACCAGCAUGGCUACCACAGCAUUCUGCAGCGACAUGCCAUCCCAUCUGCUUUGUGCUUAGUGAGAAGGAGAGUGAUGGAGUGCUGCGUCAGAUUGCCUGGCCUCCACAAUCACCCAUGCUCAGCACCUCUGGGAACUCCUUUAAGACUGUUAGAAAACCAUUCCAGGUGACCACCUCAUGAAGCUGAAGACUACUUUGAAGAAUCUAAAAUAUAAAACACAUUCUGGUAAAUCGUGAACACCUGAGGGCCCCAGUGUGCCGAUUACUUCAGCCUGGCAGUAGUGCAGUGUCUCGCUCUCUUCUUUCUCCCGUCAUCGCCCUUCAAGGAUGUGACUGAGGCCAUUUUGAGUUCUCCUUUGUUUUAUUUCCACACUUCAACACCUCUACAUACACCAUAUUUUCACUCAUUCACACCUAUCACUACUGACUUUACUGAUUUUCACACGACAUGCUUUGUUUUACAUUCUGUUUAGAUUCUUUGCCCAUCCUUUGUUAAAAAUAAAUUACUGUGUUAUACUUUCAA